Long non-coding RNA from Topomyia yanbarensis, 876 nucleotides. RefSeq lists it as uncharacterized. The record is from RefSeq and is a predicted model, not a curated record. The transcript has 3 exons. Lineage: Eukaryota; Metazoa; Arthropoda; Insecta; Diptera; Culicidae.
UGAAACUUAAUGAAAUUUAUACUGAAAAAAGUGACCGAGUUAUUUACAGCCAGUUACCAGCACAUUGAGUGACCCCUUGAUUCGACCGCAAAAAUAUUUUUACAGCAACACUUCCUUGUUUAUUUGAUUUUCAGUUGCUGCUAGCAACCAACUUAUGUUUACCAAAAAAAUUCAUUCGGACGUGUCCAUGAACGAUUUCCUGUAUAAUUUGGUGACAUUGCUCGGUGAAGAUAUGGAUUGUGUUUCUCGUAUCAUCAGAUCCGCACGAUACGAUACUAAUGCUGAAUGUCUUCUUACGAUAUUUACCGUAAACUGGUACCGCGUCAGGUUGUAUGAUUGUUGGAUUAUCAGCUAGUGGAUGUAGCCGUCGUUAUCUCUAUAGCAAGGGUUAUCAUAUCCGCGUUCUACAGUCCAAAUGGCAAAUUAAUAGCCUCUGGUUCGUCCAACAGAACAAUUUAUAUAUAGAAUCAUUUUCAUUUAUAUCUUUAUUGGCUAAGACAACGUCUGUGUCAAUUUGCCGUUAUUAAUAUUUCAGCUAUAACGUACCAAAAAUUGUUGCAGAUCAACGUAUGAUUGGCUAAUUCCACUACAUUCUAGAGCGAGAAGGUCUGAAGAAAAUGUUCGCCAACUAGAACCGGCUGAAUCAGAUAGAUCUAGCCGAAAUUCAAAAGCCCAGAUGUAGAUUUCACCGCUCAUCUAGCGAAGAAAUUGUAUUGGCAUGUAUAAUGUGAUGAAUAUUUUUAUGCUACUGUCAUUUACUUCUAGAUAUCAUCGAUAUAGGUUACUCUUUAGUAUGUUUGCAAAAACGAUCGCUUUUUAUAAAUGAACAGAGUGGGCAAUCUCUUCUAUGAAUAUAGUGAACGUUUUGAAAUAAUU